This 253-nucleotide ribosomal RNA is filed under the name uncultured bacterium. Its description in RNAcentral is "partial 16S ribosomal RNA". It matches the Rfam family "Bacterial small subunit ribosomal RNA", at positions 524 to 776 of the family's 1533-position model. The record is from RNAcentral.
UACGGGGGGGGUAAGCGUUGUUCGGAAUCACUGGGCGUAAAGGGCGCGUAGGCGGCUUUAUAAGUCGGGGGUGAAAGCCUGUGGCUCAACCACAGAAUUGCCUUCGAUACUGUAGAGCUUGAGACCGGAAGAGGUAAGUGGAACUGCGAGUGUAGAGGUGAAAUUCGUAGAUAUUCGCAAGAACACCAGUGGCGAAGGCGGCUUACUGGUCCGGUUCUGACGCUGAGGCGCGAAAGCGUGGGGAGCAAACAGG